This 929-nucleotide ribosomal RNA is filed under the name Salmonella enterica. Its description in RNAcentral is "partial 23S ribosomal RNA". It matches the Rfam family "Bacterial large subunit ribosomal RNA", at positions 359 to 1190 of the family's 2925-position model. The record is from RNAcentral. Lineage: Bacteria; Pseudomonadati; Pseudomonadota; Gammaproteobacteria; Enterobacterales; Enterobacteriaceae.
ACAGGGUGACAGCCCCGUACACAAAAGCGCAUGUGCUGUGAGCUCGAUGAGUAGGGCGGGACACGUGGUAUCCUGUCUGAAUAUGGGGGGACCAUCCUCCAAGGCUAAAUACUCCUGACUGACCGAUAGUGAACCAGUACCGUGAGGGAAAGGCGAAAAGAACCCCGGCGAGGGGAGUGAAAAAGAACCUGAAACCGUGUACGUACAAGCAGUGGGAGCCCCACCACCAAAGCAUUCUCUGGUGUUGAAGGCCCUGCAAAGCAGCAUCGCGGUGGCGGAGCGUCGUUUGCGACGCCCAACACACAAAACAAGCGGUGAGUGCUUUGGGGUGGGGUGACUGCGUACCUUUUGUAUAAUGGGUCAGCGACUUAUAUUCUGUAGCAAGGUUAACCGAAUAGGGGAGCCGGAGGGAAACCGAGUCUUAAUUGGGCGUUAAGUUGCAGGGUAUAGACCCGAAACCCGGUGAUCUAGCCAUGGGCAGGUUGAAGGUUGGGUAACACUAACUGGAGGACCGAACCGACUAAUGUUGAAAAAUUAGCGGAUGACCUGUGGCUGGGGGUGAAAGGCCAAUCAAACCGGGAGAUAGCUGGUUCUCCCCGAAAGCUAUUUAGGUAGCGCCUCGUGAAUUCAUCUCCGGGGGUAGAGCACUGUUUCGGCUAGGGGGCCAUCCCGGCUUACCAACCCGAUGCAAACUGCGAAUACCGGAGAAUGUUAUCACGGGAGACACACGGCGGGUGCUAACGUCCGUCGUGAAGAGGGAAACAACCCAGACCGCCAGCUAAGGUCCCAAAGUCAUGGUUAAGUGGGAAACGAUGUGGGAAGGCCCAGACAGCCAGGAUGUUGGCUUAGAAGCAGCCAUCAUUUAAAGAAAGCGUAAUAGCUCACUGGUCGAGUCGGCCUGCGCGGAAGAUGUAACGGGGCUAAACCAU